GCUAUUUGUGGGAUGAUACUCUAAAUCCCACCAAACCAACAUCAGUCCUCCAAACAUACUUAUCAAGAACGAAGCCAAGCAAGCUAUGCAUGUCUUCGCAAUCUUCCCAAAUUUGCUGUAGCCCACUUCUCUCUCUUCCUUGUGUGAUCCCAUCAAAAUCAAGACAGGAAAAGGCCCAGGGGUCUGUCUAUCUCUAUCCUGAAAAAUACAAACCCAUCCAAGGAAAGGAAAUUAUCUUAGCAAUGACCUUGCAUAUAUAUAUAUAUAUGACUCAAAAUACAUAGGGGAUCACAUACCUGAGUUAUGAGGUAUCAAAAAGAAAUUGUUG
RNAcentral lists this long non-coding RNA (328 nucleotides) under Actinidia chinensis (golden kiwifruit). Its description in RNAcentral is "long non-coding RNA (ACHI_LNC008770)". The record is from RNAcentral. Lineage: Eukaryota; Viridiplantae; Streptophyta; Magnoliopsida; Ericales; Actinidiaceae.